UAACUGUGGUAAUUCUAGAGCUAAUACAUGCACCUAAGCUCCGACGCCCGCGGUUCGGGGCUUUAAAGGGAGGCGGUCGGUACAGAGCGAUCUUGCCCCGCGUUACCUCUCGCUUCCGCAGGGUCGAAGGGCGCAGUUAUUAGAAUCAAAAACCGACGCGGACUCCGGUCCGACAAGUUUAUUUAAGCUUCGCACGGCUUAACGUUCGCCGUUGUCGCUGCGGGCUUUAAAAUGAUAAAACGGUUUUGAUGACUCUGAAUAACCCCGAGCCGAGCGCUCAGGUCUUUUUAGCACCGGCGCCGUAUCCUUCGAGCGUCUGCCUUAUCAGCUCGAUUGUAAGUUAUUCGCUUACGAUGGCUGUAACGGGUAACGGGGAAUCAGGGUUCGAUUCCGGAGAGGGAGCCUGAGAAACGGCUACCACAUCUAAGGAAGGCAGCAGGCGCGCAAAUUACCCAAUCCCGGCACGGGGAGGUAGUGACGAAAAAUACCGAUGCGAGACUCAUUCCGAGGCCUCGCAAUCGGAAUGAGUUUAUCCUAAAUCCUUGCAACGAGGAUCGAUUGGAGGGCAAGUCUGGUGCCAGCAGCCGCGGUAAUUCCAGCUCCAAUAGCGUAUAUUAAAGUUGCUGCGGUUAAAAAGCUCGUAGUUGGAUUUCACUACCCGGGCGGGGCGCGGCCCCCGUACUUUAAACCCUCCGCUGAGUUCUCCCACCCGCUUAGCCCCGCCGCAUCCUGCGGGCGAGAUUAAUUUCUCGGCCCUCGGUCGGCGGCGGCGGCGGCGUCGGGUAGACUGCGGCAGGGGCGGGACCCACGGCCCGUCGUUUUCCCGACUAACCGCGUUCGUCGUUUCGAACCGCGUUCGCGCGCUCUUCGUACGUCGUUUACGCGGCGGGUCGACGGCCAAAGAGGAAAAACCCCCGCUCCCGCUCCGGGUUGAUACGACGACCGUCGGCUAUCUCGCGGUGGCUGCUCUUCGCCGAGUGACUCCGCGCGCCGCCGACACGUUCACUUUGAGAAAAUGAAUGUGCUCAAAGCGGGCUCAAACGAGUUCAAACAAACUUAACGCCCGAAUGGUGAUGCAUGGAAUGAAGGAAGAGGACCUCGGUUCCACUCCCUUAUUUUGCGAAAACCGAAAUAAUAUGUAGCUCGGUUUUUUCCGUCGGUUUUUCCGCGGAAUCCGAGGUAAUGAUUAACGGGAACUGACGGGGGCAUUGGUAUUGCGACGCUAGAGGUGAAAUUCUUGGACCGUCGCAAGACCUCCUACUGCGAAAGCAUUUGCCAAGAAUGUUUUCAUUAAUCAAGAACGAAAGUUAGAGGAUCGAAGGCGAUCAGAUACCGCCCUAGUUCUAACCGUAAACUAUGCUGACUAGCGAUCCGUCCGCGUCAUACCUUAACGCAGACCGGACGGGCAGCUCCCCGGGAAACCAAAGUCUUUGAGUUCCGGGGGGAGUAUGGUUGCAAAGCUGAAACUUAAAGGAAUUGACGGAAGGGCACCACCAGGAGUGGAGCCUGCGGCUUAAUUUGACUCAACACGGGAAACCUCACCGGGCCCGGACACCGGAAGGAUUGACAGAUUAAAAGCUCUUUCUCGAUUCGGUGGGUGGUGGUGCAUGGCCGUUCCUAGUUGGUGGAGCGAUUUGUCUGGUUGAUUCCGAUAACGAACGAGAUUCUGCCCUACUAAAUAGUCGAGAGGAUGAUCCUCCGCGGUCUUUCGGGCUCUUGGCCGGGCGGUUAACGGCGCGCGGUGGGUCGUCGAACGUCGCGCUGGCGCGUUCUCCGUCUCCCGCCCUUCUUCGGAGGGGUUGGGGGGUGGCGUCGCGUUAGUGCGCGGUCGGCUCCCGCCGCCGUCGCGUCCGGACCGUCGUCCUAGUCGCGGGGGCGUCCCUCUGAAUUCUUCUUAGAGGUAUCGGCGGCCUUUUUUUCAAGCCGUAAGAGAGGGAGCGAUAACAGGUCUGUGAUGCCCUUAGAUGUUCCGGGCCGCACGCGCGCUACAAUGGAGGGUCCAGCGCGCUUUAUCCCCCUCCGAGAGGAGCGGGUAACCGCUGAAAUCCCUUCCCGAUUGGGAUUGGGGCUUGCGAGUGUUUCCCAUGAACGAGGAAUUCCUAGUAAGCGCGAGUCAUUAGCUCGCGCUGAUUACGUCCCUGCCCUUUGUACACACCGCCCGUCGCUACUACCGAUCGAAUGAUCCAGCGAGGGCAUCGGACUGGCGCCCUGGGCUCGCGUUCGCUUCGCGCGGACCGCGCUCUAAGGGUCGACGGAAAGAUGUCCGAACUUGGUCAUUUAGAGGAAGUAAAAGUCG
RNAcentral lists this ribosomal RNA (2296 nucleotides) under Ione cornuta. RNAcentral's name for it is "partial 18S ribosomal RNA". It matches the Rfam family "Eukaryotic small subunit ribosomal RNA". The record is from RNAcentral. Lineage: Eukaryota; Metazoa; Arthropoda; Malacostraca; Isopoda; Ionidae.